RNAcentral lists this ribosomal RNA (482 nucleotides) under uncultured bacterium. RNAcentral describes it as "partial 16S ribosomal RNA". It matches the Rfam family "Bacterial small subunit ribosomal RNA", at positions 28 to 523 of the family's 1533-position model. The record is from RNAcentral.
AGUGAACGUUGGCGGCGUGGAUUAGGCAUGCAAGUCGAGCGAGAACCGUAGCAAUACGGGGACAGCGGCGAAAGGGACAGUAAUGUGUAGGUACCUACCCCGAGGUCUGGGAUAGCUGCGGGAAACUGCAGGUAAUACCGGAUAAUGUCUUCGGACCAAAGGUGUGAUUCCACCUUGGGAGGGGCCUGCAUCCUAUUAGCUAGUUGGCAGGGUAAUGGCCCACCAAGGCGACGAUGGGUAGCGGGUGUGAGAGCACGACCCGCGUCAUUGGGACUGAGACACUGCCCAGACACCUACGGGUGGCUGCAGUCGAGGAUCUUCGGCAAUGGGCGAAAGCCUGACCGAGCGACGCCGCGUGCGGGAUGAAGGCCUUCGGGUUGUAAACCGCUGUCGUAGAGGAGGAAAUGCAGGGGGGUUCUCCCCUCUGUUUGACCUAUUCUAGGAGGAAGUACGGGCUAAGUUCGUGCCAGCCGCCGCAGUAA